GCCCAGAUUAGUCGCCUAGAAUAUCCUUGGUUCUAUGAGGGAAAACAUACAUUCAGUCAAAAGGCAUUUUCCUUAAGUUAUCAAUUAGACUAAAGAAAGUGGGGAACAUACAGUGUCGAGCAUGGGUGUCAAAAACACUUUGGUGCCCUGUCACGGAAGGAGCCACAAAGAUAUAAUUUCAGAGGAGAAUUCUCUACAACAGCUCAAAUGGAAAGUAGAACACAAGAUCAGAGUACAGGCAGUUAUGGAUAUUACAUGGAAACAGCUCUUUGCUCAUUAA
This is a long non-coding RNA of Anguilla anguilla (European eel), 280 nucleotides long. RefSeq lists it as uncharacterized. The record is from RefSeq and is a predicted model, not a curated record. The transcript has 3 exons. Lineage: Eukaryota; Metazoa; Chordata; Actinopteri; Anguilliformes; Anguillidae.